GGCUCUUUGGCGCAAUGGACAGCGCAUUGGACUUCUAGGACAGAAGAGGCAUAUAAAGGUUGUGGGUUCGAGUCCCACCAGAGUCA
RNAcentral lists this transfer RNA (86 nucleotides) under Danionella translucida. It matches the Rfam family "tRNA". Rfam says of the family: Transfer RNA (tRNA) molecules are approximately 80 nucleotides in length. Their secondary structure includes four short double-helical elements and three loops (D, anti-codon, and T loops). The record is from Rfam by way of RNAcentral. Lineage: Eukaryota; Metazoa; Chordata; Actinopteri; Cypriniformes; Danionidae. RNAcentral also lists the same sequence under 1 other name.